UGGGGAAUAUUGCGCAAUGGACGAAAGUCUGACGCAGCGACGCCGCGUGUGGGAUGACGCCUUUCGGGGUGUAAACCACUGUUGCCCGGGACGAAAUGCCCUUUCGAGGGAAUUGACGGUACCGGGUGAGGAAGCACCGGCUAACUCUGUGCCAGCAGCCGCGGUAAUACAGAGGGUGCGAGCGUUGUCCGGAAUCACUGGGCGUAAAGGGCGCGUAGGUGGCUUGGUAAGCGUGUGGUGAAAGUCCGGGGCUCAACCCCGGAUCUGCCAUGCGAACUGCCGAGCUCGAGCAUUGUAGAGGCAGGUGGAAUUUCGGGUGUAGCGGUGGAAUGCGUAGAUAUCCGAAAGAACACCGGUGGCGAAGGCGGCCUGCUGGGCAAUUGCUGACACUGAGGCGCGACAGCGUGGGGAGCAAACAGG
This 420-nucleotide ribosomal RNA is filed under the name uncultured bacterium. RNAcentral's name for it is "bacterial SSU rRNA". It matches the Rfam family "Bacterial small subunit ribosomal RNA", at positions 355 to 776 of the family's 1533-position model. The record is from RNAcentral.